RNAcentral lists this unclassified non-coding RNA (374 nucleotides) under uncultured Prevotellaceae bacterium. RNAcentral describes it as "contains 16S-23S intergenic spacer region". Lineage: Bacteria; Pseudomonadati; Bacteroidota; Bacteroidia; Bacteroidales; Prevotellaceae. The record is from RNAcentral.
UCACAUCUUGCGAUGGCAGUCCCGCCAGAGUGCCCACCAUUACGUGAUGGCAACUGACAGCAAGGGUUGCGCUCGUUAUGGCACUUAAGCCGACACCUCACGGCACGAGCUGACGACAACCAUGCAGCACCUCCACAACUGCCCCGAAGGGAAAGCAUAUCUCUAUGCCGGUCAGUCGCAGUUCAAGCCCGGGUAAGGUUCCUCGCGUAUCAUCGAAUUAAACCACAUGUUCCUCCGCUUGUGCGGGCCCCCGUCAAUUCCUUUGAGUUUCACCGUUGCCGGCGUACUCCCCAGGUGGAAUGCUUAAUGGUUUCCCUAAGUCCCGGACAGUAUAUCGCCCAGAACGAGCAUUCAUCGUUUACGGUGCGGACUAC